UUAAUAGACAGGCCGCUUCAAAUUUCCUAAUUAACACACAUAAACAAAGAACUACCGAUGGCAUUUACAUAAAAAAGAAGAAUAAACAGUAAAAAAAGAUGAAAAAGAAGAACUAUUGACAAUGAAGGUUCGUAUAGCCUUUGCAUAUAAAAGGGAACAACAAAAGCAGUACUAAUUGCUUUUAGCAAAAGAGUUAGAAAGAGGGAAUAUGCAUAUCAUUUUGGGGAAUGGAAAUAAAGUCUACGCUUCCAGAAUAACUUGAUGUAAUGACCAAGUAUACAGAAUAGUAACAAGAAAUCUGAACAACAGUUAAAUCAACAUACCAAUUCAGAAUAUAGACAUCUUAACUCAUUCGCUCGACUUGAGAUGCACAUUGAGUAUUACAUAACGAAACAAGUUUGAUCACAUUCGAGAAACAAACUCAAUGAAGAGAUAUCAACGAAGCAAAUUUUGAACAAUCGAUAUCAAAUCAGCAAACAACCAACAGACAAAUCAGAAAAGAAUGACAAAGAGAACAGUUAACGGAGAGAGCAUUACCUUUCCUUGAGCAGCG
RNAcentral lists this unclassified non-coding RNA (553 nucleotides) under Hevea brasiliensis (rubber tree). Lineage: Eukaryota; Viridiplantae; Streptophyta; Magnoliopsida; Malpighiales; Euphorbiaceae. The record is from RNAcentral.